RNAcentral lists this ribosomal RNA (413 nucleotides) under uncultured bacterium. RNAcentral's name for it is "bacterial SSU rRNA". It matches the Rfam family "Bacterial small subunit ribosomal RNA", at positions 509 to 918 of the family's 1533-position model. The record is from RNAcentral.
CAGCAGCCGCGGUAAUACGGAGGGUGCAAGCGUUGCUCGGAAUUACGUGGGCGUAAAGCGUACGCAGGCGGUCUGAUAAGUCGGGUGUGAAAGCCCCGGGCUCAACCCGGGAACUGCAUUCGAAACUGCCAGACUUGAGUUUGGGAGAGGGAAGUGGAAUUCCUGGUGUAGAGGUGAAAUUCGUUGAUAUCAGGAGGAACACCGGCGGCGAAAGCGGCUUCCUGGCCCGAUACUGACGCUCAUGUACGAAAGCGUGGGGAGCAAACAGGAUUAGAUACCCUGGUAGUCCACGCCGUAAACGAUGAGUGCUAGAUGUUGGAGGUAUUCACCCCUUCAGUGUCGAAGCUAACGCAUUAAGCACUCCGCCUGGGGAGUACGGCCGCAAGGUUAAAAACUCAAAGGAAUUGACGGGG